Molecule: ribosomal RNA, 467 nt
Filed under: uncultured bacterium
Lineage: Bacteria
Description: partial 16S ribosomal RNA
Rfam family: Bacterial small subunit ribosomal RNA
Source: RNAcentral
GACGAACGCUGGCGGCGUGCUUAACACAUGCAAGUCGAACGGAAAGGCCCUGCUUUUGUGGGGUGCUCGAGUGGCGAACGGGUGAGUAACACGUGAGUAACCUGCCCUUGACUUUGGGAUAACUUCAGGAAACUGGGGCUAAUACCGGAUAGGAGCUCCUGCUGCAUGGUGGGGGUUGGAAAGUUUCGGCGGUUGGGGAUGGACUCGCGGCUUAUCAGCUUGUUGGUGGGGUAGUGGCUUACCAAGGCUUUGACGGGUAGCCGGCCUGAGAGGGUGACCGGCCACAUUGGGACUGAGAUACGGCCCAGACUCCUACGGGAGGCAGCAGUGGGGAAUAUUGCACAAUGGGCGGAAGCCUGAUGCAGCAACGCCGCGUGCGGGAUGACGGCCUUCGGGUUGUAAACCGCUUUCGCCUGUGACGAAGCGUGAGUGACGGUAAUGGGUAAAGAAGCACCGGCUACCUACGU